UCACUGAGCUCCUCUACAUCAGCUGCCAGAUGUCUCACACCUGACCCGGUCCAAGUGGCCGGCUGAACCACCAGAUCAACGCCGGACCAGGUGCAGGCCGAGGUUCUGCUCAGGGUUGACCAGCCAGAGGUUACUGGUGACGGUCAGGUCAAACGCCAGCCAGCCCUCCUCCGCAGCCCACACCUCUCGCUGGUCCAGCAGCAAGAGCUCCACGUCACUGAGGAGAGGACGCCUCAAAACGAUGCGUAGUGAGUCAUCCAAACAUCCAGGGAUGUUCCUGGGAGCACUGGGAGAAGAGGCUGGGCAGCUCUACAGCAGCUCUCCGUCACACUGGAAGCUGUGGUCUUUGGAAGGGAAAUACCAUAAUCCAGUUCAGUCUUGAAGCGAUCAUCCCAGGACCACCAAGACGGAGUCACUUCCAGCACAUUGUGGGAGCCCUGGCGAAAAACGCUGCCAAUCAUCAGCACAGGAGGAGGCCGUGGUGGGUUUUUGAGAGAGAGAAAUAAUGCGCACUCAUUGUGUCCUUUUCUUCUCCUCCUUCCUCUUUAUAAUCAAACUCCUCAGAUGUGGAACCACACAAAAUCUGCUACGAGUUUUCAGAAACAAUGUUUCCAGAUCUCAUUAGCUUAAAGACCGUCAGUUAAGAGUUCACGACUGAAGACGUAAAAUGUUAUGUUUCAGAUUUUGUUUUUACAGUCUCCAAAUGUUUUGUAUUAACUACACAUGUAGGGGCUGAAUAAUAACUCUGAAUAGCUCUUCAAUUAAAAGCUUCAGUUCAGUCUCAAUGGCAAACAAGCAGACAGGAAGGUUAAAGGGUUCUUUGAGACUUCAUCUCUUCAGGUUGACCUUUAACCCUCCUCCUGAGGCCAGAUUGAAGGGUGGGGGGCGUAAAGAAGACAUGGGUUAGUUUUGGAUGUAACCACAUCCGGAUAAGAGCCACAGGCACUGUGCCGUCUGCUGUUUUACCAUGGUGAUAUCAGUGCCGCUGUAGGAUCUCCAAGGGAAACAACGGCAGGAUUUGACUUUUAUAAAUUCAAUAAUGUCUCAGUGAAUCCCCCCAACUCCCACCUGUGACCCGUGUGAUCUGCACCGUCCACACAAACACACAAACAGACACAUAAAUGCAGGAAUGCAAGCACCUGCACUGACAGAGAUUAGUACAUCAGUAACACGUGUUUAGAUGCAGCCUGUAUCUUGAUCUAACUUGUCUCUCACUCCCUAGGGGUUUAGUAAAUGCCCGUUCAAUUCCUAGUCAUGCGAAACAAAGCCACGCUAAAGCCUCUCCCCCAGAGCUUUGAAGGGAUUCUGGGGGAAAUCGGAUACAGGCGUGUUGUCAUAACAUUUACAGCUCGGGGGAUGCAUAAUGCAGCUGAUUUCAAAUGAAGAAAGUGACCUAAAAGCCACCAUGUCAGGAACACUGGCUCUCACACAGACUUAACUAGUGCACUCUGUCGCAAUGGGAGACUCGACAACAAAAUGGAAAACAUUUAACACCUUGAAUCAAUCAGAUGACAGAGAUGAAACUUCCACUGAACAACAUAAUAAGUAGUCAUUGAUUGGGACAUUUUGCAAAGAAUACUCAUUUAUAGGCCUAUAAUUAAAAAUAUAUAUAUAUUUUCAUGAAAGCAUUAUUACUAGAGGCGUGGACUCAAGUCACAAAUUGGAUGACUUUAGACUCAACUUGACAAAAUCAAAAAAGAAUUGAAACUCAACUUGGACUUUAACCUUCUGACUCUGAUACUUGUUACCUUCCCCCCCAAGCACAAAGAUUUAAAAGUUAAAACAAAUUUAAAGUGUCAAUUAAUUUCCUGGAUAACAUUAAAGGGGAACAGCAACUAAAUUAAGAAUUCCAGUAAUUUCCAUGACCUUGGAAAGUUCAAUCAAUAUUUUUGAACAUGAGCUCCUCUCUCUCA
Long non-coding RNA from Sebastes umbrosus (honeycomb rockfish), 1913 nucleotides. RefSeq lists it as uncharacterized. NCBI's taxonomy places the organism in Eukaryota, Metazoa, Chordata, Actinopteri, Perciformes, Sebastidae. The record is from RefSeq and is a predicted model, not a curated record. The transcript is spliced from 4 exons.